Molecule: non-coding RNA, 119 nt
Organism: Hordeum vulgare subsp. vulgare (domesticated barley)
Lineage: Eukaryota; Viridiplantae; Streptophyta; Magnoliopsida; Poales; Poaceae
Source: Rfam
GGAUGCGAAGAUACCAGCACUAAAGCUCUGGAUCCCAUGAGAACUUCAAAGUUAAGCGUGCUUGGGCCAGAGUAGUACUAGGAUGGGUGNNNNCCUGGGAAGUCCUCGUGUUGGAUUCC